AGACCCGAAACCCGGUGAUCUAGCCAUGGGCAGGUUGAAGGUUGGGUAACACUAACUGGAGGACCGAACCGACUAAUGUUGAAAAAUUAGCGGAUGACCUGUGGCUGGGGGUGAAAGGCCAAUCAAACCGGGAGAUAGCUGGUUCUCCCCGAAAGCUAUUUAGGUAGCGCCUCGUGAAUUCAUCUCCGGGGGUAGAGCACUGUUUCGGCUAGGGGGCCAUCCCGGCUUACCAACCCGAUGCAAACUGCGAAUACCGGAGAAUGUUAUCACGGGAGACACACGGCGGGUGCUAACGUCCGUCGUGAAGAGGGAAACAACCCAGACCGCCAGCUAAGGUCCCAAAGUCAUGGUUAAGUGGGAAACGAUGUGGGAAGGCCCAGACAGCCAGGAUGUUGGCUUAGAAGCAGCCAUCAUUUAAAGAAAGCGUAAUAGCUCACUGGUCGAGUCGGCCUGCGCGGAAGAUGUAACGGGGCUAAACCAUGCACCGAAGCUGCGGCAGCGACGCUUAUGCGUUGUUGGGUAGGGGAGCGUUCUGUAAGCCUGUGAAGGUGGCCUGUGAGGGUUGCUGGAGGUAUCAGAAGUGCGAAUGCUGACAUAAGUAACGAUAAAGCGGGUGAAAAGCCCGCUCGCCGGAAGACCAAGGGUUCCUGUCCAACGUUAAUCGGGGCAGGGUGAGUCGACCCCUAAGGCGAGGCCGAAAGGCGUAGUCGAUGGGAAACGGGUUAAUAUUCCCGUACUUGGUGUUACUGCGAAGGGGGGACGGAGAAGGCUAUGUUGGCCGGGCGACGGUUGUCCCGGUUUAAGCGUGUAGGUGUGUGUUCCAGGUAAAUCCGGUUCACUUUAACACUGAGGCGUGAUGACGAGGCACUACGGUGCUGAAGCAACAAAUGCCCUGCUUCCAGGAAAAGCCUCUAAGCAUCAGGUAACAUCAAAUCGUACCCCAAACCGACACAGGUGGUCAGGUAGAGAAUACCAAGGCGCUUGAGAGAACUCGGGUGAAGGAACUAGGCAAAAUGGUGCCGUAACUUCGGGAGAAGGCACGCUGACACGUAGGUGAAGUGAUUUACUCAUGGAGCUGAAGUCAGUCGAAGAUACCAGCUGGCUGCAACUGUUUAUUAAAAACACAGCACUGUGCAAACACGAAAGUGGACGUAUACGGUGUGACGCCUGCCCGGUGCCGGAAGGUUAAUUGAUGGGGUCAGCGCAAGCGAAGCUCCUGAUCGAAGCCCCGGUAAACGGCGGCCGUAACUAUAACGGUCCUAAGGUAGCGAAAUUCCUUGUCGGGUAAGUUCCGACCUGCACGAAUGGCGUAAUGAUGGCCAGGCUGUCUCCACCCGAGACUCAGUGAAAUUGAACUCGCUGUGAAGAUGCAGUGUACCCGCGGCAAGACGGAAAGACCCCGUGAACCUUUACUAUAGCUUGACACUGAACAUUGAGCCUUGAUGUGUAGGAUAGGUGGGAGGCUUUGAAGCGUGGACGCCAGUCUGCGUGGAGCCGACCUUGAAAUACCACCCUUUAAUGUUU
RNAcentral lists this ribosomal RNA (1524 nucleotides) under Salmonella enterica subsp. enterica serovar Paratyphi B. RNAcentral's name for it is "partial 23S ribosomal RNA". It matches the Rfam family "Bacterial large subunit ribosomal RNA", at positions 711 to 2215 of the family's 2925-position model. The record is from RNAcentral. Lineage: Bacteria; Pseudomonadati; Pseudomonadota; Gammaproteobacteria; Enterobacterales; Enterobacteriaceae.